This 492-nucleotide ribosomal RNA is filed under the name uncultured bacterium. RNAcentral describes it as "partial 16S ribosomal RNA". It matches the Rfam family "Bacterial small subunit ribosomal RNA", at positions 29 to 507 of the family's 1533-position model. The record is from RNAcentral.
AAUGAACGCUGGCGGUAGGCCUAACACAUGCAAGUCGAACGGCAGCACAGUAAGCGCUUGCCUCUACGGGUGGCGAGUGGCGGACGGGUGACGAAUACAUCGGAAUCUACUUUUUCGUGGGGGAUAACGGAGGGAAACUUACGCUAAUACCGCAUAUGAUCUACGGGAGAAAGCAAGGGAGCUUCGGACUUUGCGUGACUGAUUGAGCCGAUGUCGGAUUAGCUAGUUGGGAGGGUAACGGCACACCAAGGCAACGAUACGUAGCUGGUCUGAGAGGAUGAUCAGCCACACUGGAACUGAGACACGGUCCAGACUCCUACGGGAGGCAGCAGUAGGGAAUAUUGGGCAAUGGGCGAAAGCCUGAUGCAGCCAUGCCGCGUGAGUGAUGAAGGCCUUCGGAUUGUAAAGCCCUGUUAUUGGGGAAGAAAAGCUGUGUAUGAAAACCUGGCUGUUCUGACGGUACCCAAACAGAAAGCACCGGCUAACUACGUG